Non-coding RNA from Pantoea stewartii subsp. stewartii DC283, 59 nucleotides. The record is from Rfam. NCBI's taxonomy places the organism in Bacteria, Pseudomonadati, Pseudomonadota, Gammaproteobacteria, Enterobacterales, Erwiniaceae.
CGUGUGGUGCUGCGCAGGUUUCGUCCUAGCGCGGAGAGCGACACGGCCUUCUAUGAGGU